AGAGUUUGAUCAUGGCUCAGAUUGAACGCUGGCGGCAGGCCUAACACAUGCAAGUCGAACGGUAGCACAGAGAGCUUGCUCUCGGGUGACGAGUGGCGGACGGGUGAGUAAUGUCUGGGAAACUGCCUGAUGGAGGGGGAUAACUACUGGAAACGGUAGCUAAUACCGCAUAACGUCGCAAGACCAAAGAGGGGGACCUUCGGGCCUCUUGCCAUCAGAUGUGCCCAGAUGGGAUUAGCUAGUAGGUGGGGUAACGGCUCACCUAGGCGACGAUCCCUAGCUGGUCUGAGAGGAUGACCAGCCACACUGGAACUGAGACACGGUCCAGACUCCUACGGGAGGCAGCAGUGGGGAAUAUUGCACAAUGGGCGCAAGCCUGAUGCAGCCAUGCCGCGUGUAUGAAGAAGGCCUUCGGGUUGUAAAGUACUUUCAGCGGGGAGGAAGGCGAUAAGGUUAAUAACCUUGUCGAUUGACGUUACCCGCAGAAGAAGCACCGGCUAACUCCGUGCCAGCAGCCGCGGUAAUACGGAGGGUGCAAGCGUUAAUCGGAAUUACUGGGCGUAAAGCGCACGCAGGCGGUCUGUCAAGUCGGAUGUGAAAUCCCCGGGCUCAACCUGGGAACUGCAUUCGAAACUGGCAGGCUAGAGUCUUGUAGAGGGGGGUAGAAUUCCAGGUGUAGCGGUGAAAUGCGUAGAGAUCUGGAGGAAUACCGGUGGCGAAGGCGGCCCCCUGGACAAAGACUGACGCUCAGGUGCGAAAGCGUGGGGAGCAAACAGGAUUAGAUACCCUGGUAGUCCACGCCGUAAACGAUGUCGACUUGGAGGUUGUGCCCUUGAGGCGUGGCUUCCGGAGCUAACGCGUUAAGUCGACCGCCUGGGGAGUACGGCCGCAAGGUUAAAACUCAAAUGAAUUGACGGGGGCCCGCACAAGCGGUGGAGCAUGUGGUUUAAUUCGAUGCAACGCGAAGAACCUUACCUACUCUUGACAUCCAGAGAACUUUCCAGAGAUGGAUUGGUGCCUUCGGGAACUCUGAGACAGGUGCUGCAUGGCUGUCGUCAGCUCGUGUUGUGAAAUGUUGGGUUAAGUCCCGCAACGAGCGCAACCCUUAUCCUUUGUUGCCAGCGGUUAGGCCGGGAACUCAAAGGAGACUGCCAGUGAUAAACUGGAGGAAGGUGGGGAUGACGUCAAGUCAUCAUGGCCCUUACGAGUAGGGCUACACACGUGCUACAAUGGCGCAUACAAAGAGAAGCGACCUCGCGAGAGCAAGCGGACCUCAUAAAGUGCGUCGUAGUCCGGAUUGGAGUCUGCAACUCGACUCCAUGAAGUCGGAAUCGCUAGUAAUCGUAGAUCAGAAUGCUACGGUGAAUACGUUCCCGGGCCUUGUACACACCGCCCGUCACACCAUGGGAGUGGGUUGCAAAAGAAGUAGGUAGCUUAACCUUCGGGAGGGCGCUUACCACUUUGUGAUUCAUGACUGGGGUGAAGUCGUAACAAGGUAACCGUAGGGGAACCUGCGGUUGGAUCACCU
This 1528-nucleotide ribosomal RNA is filed under the name Enterobacter sp. MGH 22. RNAcentral describes it as "bacterial SSU rRNA". It matches the Rfam family "Bacterial small subunit ribosomal RNA". Lineage: Bacteria; Pseudomonadati; Pseudomonadota; Gammaproteobacteria; Enterobacterales; Enterobacteriaceae. The record is from RNAcentral.